CCCGCCGGCACCGGCGCACGGGUGAGUAACACGUAUGGAACCUGCCCGCAGCAGGGGGAUAAGCGGAAGAAAUUCCGUCUAAUACCGCGUAACACCGCGGAGGGGCAUCCCUCGGCGGUUAAAGAUUCAUCGGCUGCGGAUGGCCAUGCGGCGCAUUAGCUAGUCGGCGGGGUAACGGCCCACCGAGGCGACGAUGCGUAGGGGUUCUGAGAGGAAGGUCCCCCACACUGGUACUGAGACACGGACCAGACUCCUACGGAAGGCAGCAG
RNAcentral lists this ribosomal RNA (269 nucleotides) under uncultured bacterium. RNAcentral describes it as "partial 16S ribosomal RNA". It matches the Rfam family "Bacterial small subunit ribosomal RNA", at positions 85 to 354 of the family's 1533-position model. The record is from RNAcentral.